This 286-nucleotide unclassified non-coding RNA is filed under the name Hevea brasiliensis (rubber tree). Lineage: Eukaryota; Viridiplantae; Streptophyta; Magnoliopsida; Malpighiales; Euphorbiaceae. The record is from RNAcentral.
CUAAGGUUCCGUUGUUAUCCAGAGAAUCAAUCCCAACGCCCAUCUUGGCUCAUGGAUUCAUUACCUGAAUACCAUAGGCACUACUAGUCGUGACUAAGCAUGACAAGCAGGCGUAGAACUAGCAUGAUCCUGUCGGAUUAUAAGCACCUCACUGACAAUGAGACCAGUCUUACCUGUAUGCUGCUGAUCAACUGAUCGGAUUCUGAAGAAGCGUUUAAGACACAGUUUUACUAAGUCGCAAAAUGUCCAUCAGCAACCGACUGACAGAAGCCUUUAUUUCAUCUGG